RNAcentral lists this transfer RNA (62 nucleotides) under Chilocorus bipustulatus. RNAcentral's name for it is "tRNA-Ala". The record is from RNAcentral. Lineage: Eukaryota; Metazoa; Arthropoda; Insecta; Coleoptera; Coccinellidae.
AGGAUAAUAGUUAAAUUAACAUUUAAUUUGCAUUUAAAAAAUACUGAAUUCAGUUUAUCUUA